Molecule: ribosomal RNA, 482 nt
Filed under: uncultured bacterium
Lineage: Bacteria
Description: partial 16S ribosomal RNA
Rfam family: Bacterial small subunit ribosomal RNA
Source: RNAcentral
AUUGAACGCUGGCGGCAUGCUUUACACAUGCAAGUCGAACGGUAACAGGCCGCAAGGUGCUGACGAGUGGCGAACGGGUGAGUAAUGCAUCGGAACGUGCCCAGUCGUGGGGGAUAACUACUCGAAAGAGUAGCUAAUACCGCAUACGAUCUAUGGAUGAACGCGGGGGACCGUAAGGCCUCGCGCGAUUGGAGCGGCCGAUGUCGGAUUAGGUAGUUGGUGGGGUAAAGGCUGACCAAGCCAACGAUCUGUAGCUGGUCUGAGAGGACGACGGGCCACACUGGGACUGAGACACGGACCAUACUCCUACGGGAGGCAGCAGUGGGAAAUGUUGGACAAUGGGCGCAAGCCUGAUCCAGCAAUGCCGCGUGCAGGAAGAAGGCCUUCGGGUUGUAAACUGCUUUUGUACGGAACGAAACGGCUCUGGUUAAUACCCGGGGCUAAUGACGGUACCGGAAGAAGAAGCACCGGCUAACUACGUG